RNAcentral lists this long non-coding RNA (714 nucleotides) under Rhinopithecus bieti (black snub-nosed monkey). RNAcentral's name for it is "lncRNA (ENSRBIG00000046286.1)". Lineage: Eukaryota; Metazoa; Chordata; Mammalia; Primates; Cercopithecidae. The record is from RNAcentral.
CAACUCUGAGUCAGCAGAACCCGGAAAGGUCCCUGUGGUUCCCUUGCUGACUCACUGCGCCCCUUCCUCGCAGGCUCUGACCGGCAGCACAUGGAGUGGCCAAGCUGUGGUGGCCAGGUGGGGUCCUGACUUCCUGGGCCAUGGGGAGGAAGCUGAAGAAUGGAAGGACACUCAGGAUUCACUGAAGGGGCUCCCCAGAUUUUGAUCAUAGCCGCAGAAAUGAUCUCAUGUUUCUUGGGAAGAAGGGUCCUUGGAGCUGAAGACGGUUUUGGGGAGUGAAAGAAACCACCUUUUCCUGGUAGUAGCAGAGCCAAAACUCCAGCCUUCAACCCACAGACCUGGGUCUGUCCCCAGGCAUUACCACCCACCCCGGGGCCCCAUUGUCAUCUGUGACUUUUGCCUCCCUGCAUCUCAGUUUCCGUGCCUGUCAAGUGGAGAUAUAAUACCUCAUUCUGGGGAGAUACAAUGAAGUACUGCUGGUGAAAAGUACACGUGCUAUACAAAAUUAGGAAAUCCUCGUCACCAGACUUAGCGAAAAAUACAGAGUGGAGUUGACUUCCAGGAUGGAGACACAACUUCCCAGAAUCCUGUUUCACCUGAGGCACAGAAGCUUUCCUUUGUUCACCGUUGCCAGAAGUUAUUGGGCUGUGGCUGGGAUUACCUGUCAGAAUUCACAGGUGAGCUCCACUCUGCACAGGGCCAUGAGACCCUCCU